Molecule: unclassified non-coding RNA, 320 nt
Organism: Cavia aperea (Brazilian guinea pig)
Lineage: Eukaryota; Metazoa; Chordata; Mammalia; Rodentia; Caviidae
Gene: 7SK
Rfam family: 7SK RNA
About the family: 7SK was discovered as an abundant small nuclear RNA in the mid-70s but a possible function has only recently been suggested. Two independent studies have found that 7SK RNA binds the CDK9/cyclin T complex (known as elongation factor P-TEFb). P-TEFb activates transcription by phosphorylating the C-terminal domain of RNA polymerase II.
Source: Ensembl
GGAUGUGAGGGUGACCUGGCUGCGACAUCUGUCACCCCAUUGAUCGCCAGAGUUGAUUCGGCUGAUCUAACUGGCCAGGCGGGUGUCCCCUUCCUCCCUCAAGGAUCCAUAUGCAUCCCUCCCGAAGCUGCGCUAGAGGACGACCACCCCGAUGGAGGAGGAUUGUUCCUCAGUCAGAGUACUGCACCCCCCCGCUAGAACCUCCAAACAAGCUCUCAAGAAGUUCCACUAGGUCCUGCUUUGUAUUGCACUGUGUCCUCCAAUGUGUACUCUGAAGCCUACAGUAAGGCUGCAUCUUAGGAUAGGGUCUGUAGGCAAUG